Molecule: ribosomal RNA, 1461 nt
Filed under: metagenome
Description: bacterial LSU rRNA
Rfam family: Bacterial large subunit ribosomal RNA
Source: RNAcentral
UUAAUAUUCCAGCACCUAUUAUUACUGCGAUGGGGUGACGGAGAAGCGUAAAGUCCGCCAACUUACGGAAUAGUUGGUUAAAGUGCGUAGGUGUUGAUUCAGUAGGCAAAUCCGCUGAUGAACUGAAACAUGAUAGUACUCAGAUCCUUUCGGGGUGAAGAGAUAGUGGCUCCAAGCAUACUUCCAAGAAAAACCUCUAAGCUUCAGGUAAUAACAGCCCGUACCGUAAACCGACACAGGUAGUCGAGGAGAAUAUCCUAAGGCGCUCGAGUGAGUCAUGGCUAAGGAACUAGGCAAAUUAGUCUCGUAACUUCGGGAAAAGAGACCCCCACUUCGGUGGGGCGCAGAGAAAUGGCCCAGGCGACUGUUUAGCAAAAACACAGGACUCUGCAAAAUCGAAAGAUGACGUAUAGGGUCUGACACCUGCCCGGUGCCGGAAGGUUAAGGAAGGGGGUUAGCGCAAGCGAAGCUCUUGACUGAAGCCCCGGUAAACGGCGGCCGUAACGAUAACGGUCCUAAGGUAGCGAAAUUCCUUGUCGGGUAAGUUCCGACCUGCACGAAUGGUGUAACGAUCUGGGCACUGUCUCAGCCAUGAGCUCGGUGAAAUUGAAGUAUCGGUGAAGAUACCGGUUACCCGCCACGGGACGAAAAGACCCCGUGCACCUUUACUAUAGCUUCACAUUGUGCUUGAAUAUAAGAUGUGUAGGAUAGGUGGGAGACUUUGAAGCGGCCACGCUAGUGGUUGUGGAGUCAACGUUGAAAUACCACCCUUCUUCUAUUUAGGUUCUAACCCCGUACCCACGGGGGACAGUGUGUGGUGGGUAGUUUGACUGGGGUGGUCGCCUCCUAAAGAGUAACGGAGGCUUGCAAAGGUGCCCUCAGCAUGGACGGUAAUCAUGCGAAGAGCGUAUUAGUAUAAGGGCGCUUGACUGAGAGAGCGACGGCUCGACCAGGUACGAAAGUAGGCUAAAGUGAUCCGGUGGUUCCGCAUGGAAGGGCCAUCGCUCAAAGGAUAAAAGGUACGCCGGGGAUAACAGGCUGAUCUCCCCCAAGAGCUCAUAUCGACGGGGAGGUUUGGCACCUCGAUGUCGGUUCGUCACAUCCUGGGGCUGAAGAAGGUCCCAAGGGUUCGGCUGUUCGCCGAUUAAAGUGGCACGUGAACUGGGUUCAGAACGUCGCAAGACAGUUCGGUCUCUAUCUGUGGUGGGCGUUGUAAUAUUGAAGGGAACUGACUCUAGUACGAGAGGACCGAGUUGGACGUACCUCUAGUGUAUCUGUUGUGCCGCCAGGUGCAGCGCAGAGUAGCUAUGUACGGACUAGAUAAGCGCUGAAAGCAUCUAAGCGCGAAGCUAUCCUUAAGAUGAGUAUUACUGGGGUCGUAGAAGACGACUACGUUGAUAGGCUAUAGGUGUAAGCGUAGUAAUACGUUCAGCUGAGAAGUACUAAUUACCCCUUAGCUUC